UGCAUUUCAUACUGGGUCGCUAGAGUACUUUAGGGAGGGGUAGAAUUCCACGUGUAGCGGUGAAAUGCGUAGAGAUGUGGAGGAAUACCGAAGGCGAAGGCAGCCCCUUGGGAAUGUACUGACGCUCAUGUGCGAAAGCGUGGGGAGCAAACAGGAUUAGAUACCCUGGUAGUCCACGCUGUAAACGAUGUCGAUUUGGGGGUUGAGCUUUAAGCUUGGCGCCCGUAGCUAACGUGAUAAAUCGACCGCCUGGGGAGUACGGCCGCAAGGUUAAAACUCAAAUGAAUUGACGGGGGCCCGCACAAGCGGUGGAGCAUGUGGUUUAAUUCGAUGCAACGCGAAGAACCUUACCUACUCUUGACAUCCAGAGAACAUUC
RNAcentral lists this ribosomal RNA (377 nucleotides) under uncultured bacterium. RNAcentral describes it as "bacterial SSU rRNA". It matches the Rfam family "Bacterial small subunit ribosomal RNA", at positions 622 to 1000 of the family's 1533-position model. The record is from RNAcentral.